AGGUAGGGUGGCCGAGAGUAGGUGGCAAGCUGUAGACUUGUUUACGGGGCAGACCCCCCCCCAGCCC
Molecule: transfer RNA, 67 nt
Filed under: Cyrtodactylus intermedius
Lineage: Eukaryota; Metazoa; Chordata; Lepidosauria; Squamata; Gekkonidae
Description: tRNA-Tyr
Source: RNAcentral